CGGGAUGUAGCGCAGCUUGGUAGCGCGUAUGCUUUGGGAGCAUGAUGCCGCAGGUUCGAAUCCUGUCAUCCCGA
RNAcentral lists this transfer RNA (74 nucleotides) under Golenkinia longispicula. Its description in RNAcentral is "tRNA-Pro". It matches the Rfam family "tRNA". Rfam says of the family: Transfer RNA (tRNA) molecules are approximately 80 nucleotides in length. Their secondary structure includes four short double-helical elements and three loops (D, anti-codon, and T loops). Lineage: Eukaryota; Viridiplantae; Chlorophyta; Chlorophyceae; Chlamydomonadales; Golenkiniaceae. The record is from RNAcentral.